RNAcentral lists this ribosomal RNA (253 nucleotides) under uncultured bacterium. RNAcentral describes it as "partial 16S ribosomal RNA". It matches the Rfam family "Bacterial small subunit ribosomal RNA", at positions 524 to 776 of the family's 1533-position model. The record is from RNAcentral.
UACAGAGGGGGCAAGCGUUGUUCGGAAUUACUGGGCGUAAAGGGCGCGUAGGCGGCCGCCUAAGUCAGACGUGAAAUCCCUCGGCUCAACCGGGGAACUGCGUCUGAUACUGGGUGGCUUGAAUCCGGGAGAGGGAUGCGGAAUUCCAGGUGUAGCGGUGAAAUGCGUAGAUAUCAGGAGGAACACCGAUAGCGAAGGCAGCUCGCUGGGACGGUACUGACGCUGAGGCGCGAAAGCGUGGGGAGCGAACAGG